This 403-nucleotide ribosomal RNA is filed under the name bacterium. RNAcentral's name for it is "partial 16S ribosomal RNA". It matches the Rfam family "Bacterial small subunit ribosomal RNA", at positions 355 to 776 of the family's 1533-position model. The record is from RNAcentral.
UGGGGAAUAUUGCACAAUGGGGGAAACCCUGGUGCAGCGACGCCGCGUGAACGAAGAAGGUAUUCGUAUCGUAAAGUUCUGUCCUAUGGGAAGAUAAUGACAGUACCAUAGAAGAAAGCUCCGGCUAAAUACGUGCCAGCAGCCGCGGUAAUACGUAUGGAGCGAGCGUUGUCCGGAAUUAUUGGGCGUAAAGGGUACGCAGGCGGUUUAAUAAGUCGAAUGUUAAAGAUCGGGGCUCAACCCCGCAAAGCAUUGGAAACUGAUAAACUUGAGUAGUGGAGAGGAAAGUGGAAUUCCUAGUGUAGUGGUGAAAUACGUAGAUAUUAGGAGGAAUACCAGUAGCGAAGGCGACUUUCUGGACACAAACUGACGCUGAGGUACGAAAGCGUGGGGAGCAAACAGG